GCGGAGGGAUCAUUACCGAGUUUACAACUCCCAAACCCAAUGUGAACGUUACCAAACUGUUGCCUCGGCGGGAUCUCUGCCCCGGGUGCGUCGCAGCCCCGGACCAAGGCGCCCGCCGGAGGACCAACCAAAACUCUUUUGUAUACCCCCUCGCGGGUUUUUAUAUCUGAGCCAUCUCGGCGCCUCUCGUAGGCGUUUCGAAAAUGAAUCAAAACUUUCAACAACGGAUCUCUUGGUUCUGGCAUCGAUGAAGAACGCAGCGAAAUGCGAUAAGUAAUGUGAAUUGCAGAAUUCAGUGAAUCAUCGAAUCUUUGAACGCACAUUGCGCCCGCCAGUAUUCUGGCGGGCAUGCCUGUCCGAGCGUCAUUUCAACCCUCGAACCCCUCCGGGGGGUCGGCGUUGGGGAUCGGCCCUUUACGGGGCCGGCCCCGAAAUACAGUGGCGGUCUCGCCGCAGCCUCUCCUGCGCAGUAGUUUGCACACUCGCAUCGGGAGCGCGGCGCGUCCAUUGCCGUAAAACACCCAACUUUCUGAAAUGUUGACCUCGGAUCAGGUAGGAAUACCCGCUGAACUUAA
Molecule: unclassified non-coding RNA, 575 nt
Filed under: Trichoderma spirale
Lineage: Eukaryota; Fungi; Ascomycota; Sordariomycetes; Hypocreales; Hypocreaceae
Description: partial contains 18S rRNA, ITS1, 5.8S rRNA, ITS2 and 28S RNA
Rfam family: 5.8S ribosomal RNA (bases 213-366)
Source: RNAcentral